GGAAGGUAAAAGUCGUAACAAGGUCUCCGUUGGUGAACCAGCGGAGGGAUCAUUACUGAGUUUACGCUCUAUAACCCUUUGUGAACAUACCUAUAACUGUUGCUUCGGCGGGUAGGGUCUCCGCGACCCUCCCGGCCUCCCGCCUCCGGGCGGGUCGGCGCCCGCCGGAGGAUAACCAAACUCUGAUUUAACGACGUUUCUUCUGAGUGGUACAAGCAAAUAAUCAAAACUUUUAACAACGGAUCUCUUGGUUCUGGCAUCGAUGAAGAACGCAGCGAAAUGCGAUAAGUAAUGUGAAUUGCAGAAUUCAGUGAAUCAUCGAAUCUUUGAACGCACAUUGCGCCCGCCAGCAUUCUGGCUGGCAUGCCUGUUCGAGCGUCAUUUCAACCCUCAAGCUCUGCUUGGUGUUGGGGCCCUACAGCUGAUGUAGGCCCUCAAAGGUAGUGGCGGACCCUCCCGGAGCCUCCUUUGCGUAGUAACUUUACGUCUCGCACUGGGAUCCGGAGGGACUCUUGCCGUAAAACCCCCCAAUUUUCCAAAGGUUGACCUCGGAUCAGGUAGGAAUACCCGCUGAACUUAAGCAUAUCAAUAAGCGGAGGA
This 600-nucleotide ribosomal RNA is filed under the name Colletotrichum gloeosporioides. RNAcentral describes it as "eukaryotic LSU rRNA". The stretch from base 228 to 381 matches the Rfam family "5.8S ribosomal RNA". The record is from RNAcentral. Lineage: Eukaryota; Fungi; Ascomycota; Sordariomycetes; Glomerellales; Glomerellaceae.